GAGGCUGGCCGGGCGACCGCGGCGACCGCUUCACGGCGGUGGUCGAGGAAGGUCCGGGCUCCACAGGGCAAGGUGGUGGGUAACACCCACCCGGGGUGACCCGCGGGACAGUGCCACAGAGAACAGACCGCCUCCCGGCUCCGUUGUUUCGGGGCCGGGCGGCAAGGGUGAAACGGUGGUGCAAGAGACCACCAGUGUGCCGGGUGACCGGCACAGCUAGGUAAACCCCACCUGGAGCAAGAUCGAGAAGCCGCGACUCCGGUCGCGGUGCGCACGUGACCGAGGGCGGCCCGCCCGAGCGUGCGGGUGGAUCGCACGAGGCGGCCGGCAACGGUCGUCCCAGAUGGAUGGUCGCCAACUGCGGGGUCGCGAGGCCCCGCAGCGAACAGAACCCGGCCUAUGAGCCAGCCUCUCCG
Molecule: RNase P RNA, 416 nt
Filed under: Nocardioides donggukensis
Lineage: Bacteria; Bacillati; Actinomycetota; Actinomycetes; Propionibacteriales; Nocardioidaceae
Description: Bacterial RNase P class A
Rfam family: Bacterial RNase P class A
About the family: Ribonuclease P (RNase P) is a ubiquitous endoribonuclease, found in archaea, bacteria and eukarya as well as chloroplasts and mitochondria. Its best characterised activity is the generation of mature 5'-ends of tRNAs by cleaving the 5'-leader elements of precursor-tRNAs. Cellular RNase Ps are ribonucleoproteins.
Source: Rfam by way of RNAcentral